AUGUUUACUUUGGCAGCACAUAUAGUAAAACUGGAACACUGAAGAUUAGUAUGUGCCCUGUGUGAAGAUGACAUGCAAAUUUGUGAAGCAUUUCAUAUUUUU
Ochotona curzoniae (black-lipped pika) is the source of this 102-nucleotide small nuclear RNA. NCBI's taxonomy places the organism in Eukaryota, Metazoa, Chordata, Mammalia, Lagomorpha, Ochotonidae. The record is from RefSeq and is a predicted model, not a curated record.